This 254-nucleotide ribosomal RNA is filed under the name Hygrocybe cf. flavescens/chlorophana. Its description in RNAcentral is "partial 28S ribosomal RNA". It matches the Rfam family "Eukaryotic large subunit ribosomal RNA", at positions 104 to 344 of the family's 3401-position model. Lineage: Eukaryota; Fungi; Basidiomycota; Agaricomycetes; Agaricales; Hygrophoraceae. The record is from RNAcentral.
AGAGCUCAAAUUUAAAAUCUGGCAGCCUGAUGGGCUUGUCCGAGUUGUAAUCUAGAGAAGUGUCUUCCGCGCUGGGACCGUGUACAAGUCUCUUGGAAUGGAGCGUCAUAGAGGGUGAGAAUCCCGUCUCUGACACGGAAUUUACCGGUGCUUUUGUGAUGCGCUCUCGAAGAGUCGAGUUGUUUGGGAAUGCAGCUCAAAAUGGGUGGUAAAUUCCAUCUAAAGCUAAAUACAGGCGAGAGACCGAUAGCGAA